RNAcentral lists this ribosomal RNA (503 nucleotides) under uncultured bacterium. Its description in RNAcentral is "bacterial SSU rRNA". It matches the Rfam family "Bacterial small subunit ribosomal RNA", at positions 21 to 507 of the family's 1533-position model. The record is from RNAcentral.
GGCUCAGGACGAACGCUAGGCGGCGUGCCUAACACAUGCAAGUCGAAACGGAGUGUUGCGCUGAUUUGAAGUUAGCUUGCUAAUGAAUUUCUUGUAACACUUAGUGGCGGACGGGUGAGUAACGCGUGAGUAACCCUGCCUUACAGAGGGGGGACAACAGUUGGAAACGACUGCUAAUACCGCAUAAUGUGGUGAGAGGGCAUCCUCUUAUCACCAAAGGAGCAAUCCGCUGUAAGAUGGACUCGCGUCCAAUUAGAUAGUUGGUGAGAUAAUAGCCCACCAAGCCGACGAUCGGUAGCCGGACUGAGAGGUUGAACGGCCACAUUGGGACUGAGACACGGCCCAGACUCCUACGGGAGGCAGCAGUGGGGGAUAUUGCACAAUGGGGGAAACCCUGAUGCAGCGACGCCGCGUGAGGGAAGACGGUUUUCGGAUUGUAAACCUCUGUCUUUAGGGACGAAAAAAUGACGGUACCUAAAGAGGAAGCCACGGCUAACUACGUG